GACGAACGCUGGCGGCGUGCUUAACACAUGCAAGUCGAACGGAAAGGCCCUGCUUUUGUGGGGUGCUCGAGUGGCGAACGGGUGAGUAACACGUGAGUAACCUGCCCUUGACUUUGGGAUAACUUCAGGAAACUGGGGCUAAUACCGGAUAGGAUCUCCUGCUGCAUGGUGGGGGUUGGAAAGUUUCGGCGGUUGGGGAUGGACUCGCGGCUUAUCAGCUUGUUGGUGGGGUAGUGGCUUACCAAGGCUUUGACGGGUAGCCGGCCUGAGAGGGUGACCGGCCACAUUGGGACUGAGAUACGGCCCAGACUCCUACGGGAGGCAGCAGUGGGGAAUAUUGCACAAUGGGCGGAAGCCUGAUGCAGCAACGCCGCGUGCGGGAUGACAGCCUUCGGGUUGUAAACCGCUUUCGCCUGUGACGAAGCGUGAGUGACGGUAAUGGGUAAAGAAGCACCGGCUAACUACGUG
This 468-nucleotide ribosomal RNA is filed under the name uncultured bacterium. RNAcentral describes it as "partial 16S ribosomal RNA". It matches the Rfam family "Bacterial small subunit ribosomal RNA", at positions 28 to 507 of the family's 1533-position model. The record is from RNAcentral.